This 1096-nucleotide long non-coding RNA is filed under the name Zonotrichia albicollis (white-throated sparrow). RNAcentral's name for it is "lncRNA (ENSZALG00000001739.1)". Lineage: Eukaryota; Metazoa; Chordata; Aves; Passeriformes; Passerellidae. The record is from RNAcentral.
CCUGUUCUUUUUCCUUCACCUGCCCUUUUCCUGCCCCUUUUCCCCUCAGUUUUUCCCAACAUUUCCCCUCAGUUUUUCCCACCCUUUUCCCCACAUUUCCCCUCAGGUUUCCCCAUUUUUUUCCUGCAUUUCCCUUCAGUUCUUGCUGCCCCUUUUUCCACUUUUCCCCUUCUUUUUUCCCACCCUUUUCCCCACAUUUCCCUGUUUCUCCUGCCCUUUUCCCCUCACUUUUUUCCUGCUUUUCCCUCCCUUUUCCCCACAUUUCCUUCACUUUUUCCCACCAUUUUCCCCUCAGUUUUUCCUGCCCUUUUCCCCCACAUUUUCCCUCUUUCUCCUGCCCUUUUCCCCUCACUUUUUCCCUGUUUUCCUCACCCAUUUCCCCACAUUUCCCCUCAGUUUUCCCCAUUUUUUCCCCACAUUUCCCCUCAGUUUUUCCCACCCUUUUCCCCUCAGCUUUUCCCUGCUUUUCCCUACAUUUUCCCUGCUUUUCCAACCCUUUUCCCCUCAGUUUUUCCCACCUUUUUCCCUUCAGUUUUUCCCACCUUUUUCCCCUCAGUUUUUCCUGUUUUCCUCACCCACUUCCCCACAUUUCCCCUCAGUUUUUCCCACCCUUUUCCCCACAUUUUCCCUCUUUCUCCUGCCCUUUUCCCCACAUUUCCCUUCACUUUUUCCUGCUCUUUUCCCCACAUUUCCCCUCAGGUUUCCCACCCCUUUUCCCACAUUUCCCCUCAUUUUUUCCCACAUUUGCCCUCCAUUUUUCCCACCCUUUUCCCCACAUUUCCCCUCAAUUUUCCCCUGCAUUUCCCCUCAGUUUUCCCCAUUUUUUCUCCACAUUUCCCCUCAAUUUUCCCCAUUUUUUCCCCACAUUUCCCCUCAGUUUUCCCCAUUUUUUCCCCACAUUUCCCCUCAGUUUUCCCCAUUUUUUCUCCACAUUUCCCCUCAAUUUUCCCCAUUUUUUCCCCACAUUUCCCCUCAAUUUUCCCCAUUUUUUCCCCACAUUUCCCCUUGUUUUCCCCUCUCCCAACCCCCCAAAAUUCCCAUUUUUUCCCCAGCUCUCUCCACGCUGCUGCUGCUGCCCACGGGCUCGGCUCAAUCC